Molecule: long non-coding RNA, 693 nt
Organism: Zonotrichia leucophrys gambelii
Lineage: Eukaryota; Metazoa; Chordata; Aves; Passeriformes; Passerellidae
Exons: 3
Source: RefSeq, a predicted model, not a curated record
GCCUUGGUCUGCUUAUUUUUUAUUCUGACUGUAACACAAAGGCUGGGUCACACUUGGACUAGGCCUUGUGCCUUUGUUUUGUGUAGAAGGUUUUGUUGGUUGGUGGUUUUUGGGGGUUGGGUUUGUUGUUUUUUGGAGUUUUUUACAGCACUAAAACCUGAAACUUGGCUGAACUUGAGAUUCUUGAGAGCUCUCAGCUGGAGUUGUUCUGCUGUGCACUGCUCCUUCCUCUUCCACAGAGGAGGUGUCAAGGCCAUGUUAGCAGAUGACCAAGGAUCCCCACCCUUCCCCUGCCCAGGCACAUCUCAAGUUCAGGAGUCCAUGUGCAGAAGUCUGGAGCCAGGUCAAAACACAGCCAAACAUCAGUAGCUGGGAGAAAGCCUGUGGGACACAUCCUACAGGCUGGGAAAGCAUUAACAGAAACACUCUGGCUGAAGCAUUCAUGGGGAAGGAGAGCCCCAAUGAGGGCUGAAAUACACAAUAUGUUCAGAUUUGAGCCUGAGGAAGAAUUCUGGGAGAAGAUCCUCUGUGCUGUUUGUUCCACAUCUUAAAACAAAGCCUUUAACCUCAAUGCCUUCUCCUGAGCAUUUCUUCAUGCUGUAGAAACAAUUUUGGAAGAGUGAUACAAACAAAAGUCCAAUUAGGGGGUUGCAGUCUAAAUAAAAUCUGUUUCUGCCCACACCAUAAGACAAA